RNAcentral lists this small nucleolar RNA (80 nucleotides) under Otolemur garnettii (small-eared galago). RNAcentral's name for it is "Small nucleolar RNA SNORA31 (ENSOGAG00000023947.1)". Lineage: Eukaryota; Metazoa; Chordata; Mammalia; Primates; Galagidae. The record is from RNAcentral.
CUGUAUACAUGCAAGAAAAAAGUAUCCUUACUCCUUCUGUCUGUCUGAUUGUGGCAGUGAAGACUGAAUGGAAGAAAUAU